RNAcentral lists this ribosomal RNA (138 nucleotides) under uncultured bacterium. Its description in RNAcentral is "partial 16S ribosomal RNA". It matches the Rfam family "Bacterial small subunit ribosomal RNA", at positions 355 to 509 of the family's 1533-position model. The record is from RNAcentral.
UGGGGAAUAUUGCACAAUGGGGGGAACCCUGAUGCAGCGACGCCGCGUGAGUGAAGAAGUAUUUCGGUAUGUAAAGCUCUGUCAGCAGGGAAGAAGAAAGACGGUACCUGACCAAGAAGCCCCGGCUAACUACGUGCC